RNAcentral lists this transfer RNA (73 nucleotides) under Desmophyllum pertusum. RNAcentral describes it as "tRNA-Thr". The stretch from base 5 to 69 matches the Rfam family "tRNA". From Rfam's summary of the family: Transfer RNA (tRNA) molecules are approximately 80 nucleotides in length. Their secondary structure includes four short double-helical elements and three loops (D, anti-codon, and T loops). Further hydrogen bonds mediate the characteristic L-shaped molecular structure. tRNAs have two regions of fundamental functional importance: the anti-codon, which is responsible for specific mRNA codon recognition, and the 3' end, to which the tRNAs corresponding amino acid is attached (by aminoacyl-tRNA synthetases). tRNAs cope with the degeneracy of the genetic code in two manners: having more than one tRNA (with a specific anti-codon) for a particular amino acid; and 'wobble' base-pairing, i.e. permitting non-standard base-pairing at the 3rd anti-codon position. The record is from RNAcentral. Lineage: Eukaryota; Metazoa; Cnidaria; Anthozoa; Scleractinia; Caryophylliidae.
GUCUCCUGUAGCUCAGUGGUAGAGCAUCUGACCGGUGUGCAGAAGGUCAUAGGUUCGACUCCUUUUAGGCACU